This 1176-nucleotide long non-coding RNA is filed under the name Gallus gallus (chicken). Lineage: Eukaryota; Metazoa; Chordata; Aves; Galliformes; Phasianidae. The record is from RNAcentral.
GUUCCUUAGAGUGGAUGGCUCCCUUCUGCACACAUGUGGCCACAGAGCUGCCACUGUUGCUCGUUCAGAUGACUGCAGUUAUUCCUGGUGGGGAUUCAUGUAGGCCCGGAUCCCAGAAUCUUCAGCACUGAUGUGUCUAGUAGUCAGCUCUCGGCUUUUUGUUUAACUUGAGAUCAAUCCUCCAUCACGCUUUUCUGUUUUUAAAAAAAACUUCCCAGCCUAACCUAAUAUACAUACCUGUGCCGAUUUUUGUUCUUCCUUUUUUUGUGGCUGCUGUGGUGGCUCCCAGAAGUGGAGGAAGCGGCUUUUUGGGGUUUCACCCCCUGCACGGAUCCAUCCAGCUCCUCAGCAUCCUCCUGGCUGGGCUCGUUCUCCUGAUUGUGGAAGUCUGGAGAAGUGUCGCUUUCCGUCCCGCUGCCCGGCUCCCGCUUCUCGAUGAGCUGAUCCUGGACUCCAGCUAACGCACUGACGGCCGCGGCAGAGGUGACCGAGGAUUUGCUGAAGAGCCGCUCGGCCUCCUUAAACUUGCGGUUCCUGCGGUCGUUUUUGCUGUUGGAGUUCUUCUGGUUGGUGAGGUAACGGUCCCAUCCGCGGAUGAUGUUGCCGUACAUCUGCGUGUCCUCCAGGUAGCUGCCUUCGAAGGCGUAGAUCUGCCGCUCCAGGUUGGCCAGCGUCUCCGCCAGCUCCUGUUUGCGCUUCACCAGCUCGGCCAACUCCCGCCGGGUGUCGGGGAUCUGCGGGGGUCCGCCGGCCUUGGCGUGCAGCGCGGCCAUGGCGGCUGCGGCCUGCGCGGGGCGGGCGGGGCUGCGGAGAGGCGCCGCCGGGGGCAGCGCUGAGCACCGCUCCGCCCCUCCGCACCGCACCGCACCGCCCCGCUCCGCUCCGGGCCCCGCCCCGCAGCUGCCGUCGGGGCUGAGCCUCAGUAGGGACGCAGGAGCGGGGAGAGGGGCCGGGCGAGCGGCCCCGAAGGCCUCCAAGAUUCGGGUCUGUGCUUGAAGCGGCGCUGCACGGGGGGGCGGCAGACAACCAGGCCGACCCCGAACCUAAGGCUGAACCCGAGGCUGAACCCCUCCGCCCACUCGGCAGCCCGAAGGCAGGACUCAGUGCUCCCCGGCGGCUCCGGAGAACCCACCCGCCUUCAGAACCUGAAUAAGGGAAUCUCGGAGCAAAAUGAAG